This is an unclassified non-coding RNA of Mesocricetus auratus (golden hamster), 324 nucleotides long. Its record names the gene 7SK. It matches the Rfam family "7SK RNA". Rfam says of the family: 7SK was discovered as an abundant small nuclear RNA in the mid-70s but a possible function has only recently been suggested. NCBI's taxonomy places the organism in Eukaryota, Metazoa, Chordata, Mammalia, Rodentia, Cricetidae. The record is from Ensembl.
GGAUGUGAAAUCUGGCUGCGAUAUCUGUCACCCCAUUGAUCGCCAGGGUUGAUUCGGCUGAUCUGGCUGGCUAGGCGGGUGUCCCCUUCCUCCCUCACCGCUCCAUGUGCGUCCCUCCCGAAGCUGCGCGCUCGGUCGAAGAGGACGACCUUCCCCGAAUAGAGGAGGACCGGUCUUCGGUCAAGGGUAUACGAGUAGCUGCGCUCCCCUGCUAGAACCUCCAAACAAGCUGUCAAGAAUACUGAAAUUAAUGUCUUAAAAUGAAUAGCAUGAAAUAUAAGAAUUUUCCUCUAAGCAACAUGAGGAUACUCACAGUAACCAUUA